The sequence is a transfer RNA, 76 nucleotides long. It matches the Rfam family "tRNA". Rfam says of the family: Transfer RNA (tRNA) molecules are approximately 80 nucleotides in length. Their secondary structure includes four short double-helical elements and three loops (D, anti-codon, and T loops).
UAACGCAGUUCAGCUGGAUAGAGCACCCGACUUCCAAGCGGGACGGUCGAAGGUUCGAAUCCUUCUGCGUUCACAA